CACUACGGCCAUGCCACCCUGAACAUGCCUGAUCUCAUCUGAUCCCAAAGCUAAGCAGAGUCGGGCCUGCUUAGUAGUACUUGGAUGGGAGACCACCUAGGAAAACCAGGUGCUGUAGGCG
Pteropus vampyrus (large flying fox) is the source of this 121-nucleotide ribosomal RNA. Lineage: Eukaryota; Metazoa; Chordata; Mammalia; Chiroptera; Pteropodidae. The record is from Ensembl.